Long non-coding RNA from Hevea brasiliensis (rubber tree), 1681 nucleotides. RefSeq lists it as uncharacterized. The transcript has 4 exons. NCBI's taxonomy places the organism in Eukaryota, Viridiplantae, Streptophyta, Magnoliopsida, Malpighiales, Euphorbiaceae. The record is from RefSeq and is a predicted model, not a curated record.
GUGCCCUUUUUUUGGUAUAACUGGCUCCAACCGGGUAACUGUGCCUUUGACAUCAAAGAGUGCUAAGCUAGUUUAUUACUUGGUGUAUUUUUCUACUUGAUUUUAUUAUGAGAUUUUGAAAACUAGGGGUGUGCAGUCAGUCAGUUCUGUUCCAAACUGAACCUAAAUAACCAAAAAAAUUGAAUAAUAAAUAAUAAUAAAUGAACUGAAAUAUGGGUUGAACAAAACCAAACUGAAAUUUUUUGCUUGCUUCGGUUAGGUUUAUUGGUUUGGGUCUAUUUUAUUGGGCCUUUUGAAUUUUUAUUUUUUGGGCUUACUAUAAAUUCCAUAAAUUACACAUUACAUAAAAGCCCAUAAAAAUUAAAAAAAGGUCAUAAAUCAGAAAAUAGGUUGGCUCGGUUUUUAUUUUCUUUUUUAAUAUGAAAAUAACCAAACUAAACCGAAAACUGAACUUUUUAAAAAAUAAUAACUGAAACACAAAAUUAAAAUGGUUCGGUUCGGUUUUUCUGUUAUAAUCGAUUUUUUCUCUACCCUAUUGAAAACAAUUACUGGACAAAAAAGCUGAACAGAAAAAUCAAAGUUACAUCACUUCUCAUUUAAUGCUUUAUCUGCAGAGUAUGAUGAAGUGCAAAUCUUAUCAAUAAGAAAGGUAAAGAGAAAAUGAAGGCAGACAGCAAAAGGGAAAAAAAAAAAGGGUAAAGAAAAUCUAAACUGAAAUAAAAAUUGCUGAACAAACUGUAUCAGUCACAAGUUCCGAGCAAUUCAAGAUGGUCUCCUUUUAAUGUCAUUCUUCCAUUUGUUCCAAAAAUUGAUGACAAAAGAGUUCUGUGGGAAAGUGAAAUGUAGGCCUCUAAACUAUUCUCAGUUUUAGAUUUUCACAUAUUACAGGUGGUUGUCUGCAUCUUUUCUCUUUUUAUGCUUUAUGGUUUCUGGUCAUAUAAUUCAUGCAACUUCAAAGAUUGUUUAGUUGCUGUUGCAUAAUGAUAUUGGUCAAGAUAACAGUGUUAUGAGAAUAUCUUAUUCAUAUUGGGGUGUUUCCAGGUGGAUAAGGGAAUAAGUCCAGAAAUUGUUGUGUCCCUGCAGAGCAUGCAUCCUUACCUUGUCUAGCACCAAAAACAGCAUAUAAAAUGGAAGCCUUGUCAAGAGGCGAUAUUUUCCAAAAGUAGUUGAAGCUUAUUCUCAUCCUAGGAGAAUUGUCCAUGGAAAGGAUGUGGACUUUGGUGUGGAGAUGAGGCUGUAUUUGAGAUAGCUGAAGAGAGAGCUUUAUAGAGCAUCUUCUUGUACGCAAAAGGCAAAAUUUAUCCUGGCAUUGAGGUAGAUGAGUUUGUUGAAAUAUCUUCAGAACUUCUACAGCCACUCGAGGAUUUCUUCAAUAAUGUCGUUGUCAUGGUGGUGUGUCUUUUGCAGAACUAACUUUCCCAUUAAAAAAAAAAAAAAAAAAAGAAACUAUAUCUGUUACUGGAGAUUACAAUUCGGAACAUAAUGAGGUUCUGGUGAUCGUCUAUUCUAUGGCCUGACCUGAUGUUAACUGCAUAGUCGUAUCAUGCAUGGAUCCAUAUUUGGACACAUAAUCGUUUUUCAUUUGUGCAUUAUUAGCCACUCAAAAGAAUUUUAGACCAACUUUUUUAACUAUUCAUUUGUGUAAACCAUGAUCGGUGAAAAUCCAUUAUUUGAGCCUUUA